Fusarium venenatum is the source of this 73-nucleotide non-coding RNA. NCBI's taxonomy places the organism in Eukaryota, Fungi, Ascomycota, Sordariomycetes, Hypocreales, Nectriaceae. The record is from RefSeq and is a predicted model, not a curated record.
CGUUGCUGGUGAUUUUUCACAUGGAGAUAGGUACUCUGAGAGUAAUGCACUGAUAUUUAGAUCUACUGAAGGA